AGCGGUUAAGUGUUCACCUGUUAACUGAAAGGUUGGUGGUUCAAACCCACCAGCCGCUC
Molecule: transfer RNA, 59 nt
Filed under: Loxodonta africana (African savanna elephant)
Lineage: Eukaryota; Metazoa; Chordata; Mammalia; Proboscidea; Elephantidae
Source: Rfam by way of RNAcentral